Molecule: ribosomal RNA, 207 nt
Filed under: uncultured Lachnospiraceae bacterium
Lineage: Bacteria; Bacillati; Bacillota; Clostridia; Lachnospirales; Lachnospiraceae
Description: partial 16S ribosomal RNA
Rfam family: Bacterial small subunit ribosomal RNA
Source: RNAcentral
AGCGUAGACGGUAGAUCAAGUCUGAAGUGAAAGCCCGGGGCUCAACCCCGGGACUGCUUUGGAAACUGGUAAACUAGAGUGCAGGAGAGGUAAGUGGAAUUCCUAGUGUAGCGGUGAAAUGCGUAGAUAUUAGGAGGAACACCAGUGGCGAAGGCGGCUUACUGGACUGUAACUGACGUUGAGGCUCGAAAGCGUGGGGAGCAAACA